Molecule: ribosomal RNA, 253 nt
Filed under: uncultured bacterium
Lineage: Bacteria
Description: partial 16S ribosomal RNA
Rfam family: Bacterial small subunit ribosomal RNA
Source: RNAcentral
UACGGGGGGAGCAAGCGUUGUUCGGAAUUACUGGGCGUAAAGGGCUCGUAGGCGGCCAACUAAGUCAGACGUGAAAUCCCCAGGCUUAACCUGGGAACUGCGUCUGAUACUGGAUGGCUUGAAUUCGGGAGAGGGAUGCAGAAUUCCAGGUGUAGCGGUGAAAUGCGUAGAUAUCUGGAGGAAUACCGGUGGCGAAGGCGGCAUCCUGGACCGACAUUGACGCUGAUGAGCGAAAGCUAGGGGAGCAAACGGG